AAAAAAAAGAAGGUUAAAUGAAGACAUUUACAGACAGACAAAGUGGAGACUUUUCUACCAAUAGACUCUAACUAUAGAAACUUCAAAAGAUAAACUUCAAACAGAAUGAAAUAUAUGCCUGGAAAAUCUAAGAUGCAAGAAAGAAAGGACUCCUGUUUUUGCCAUCAUUCCUUGGCUCGAUCUACCAACUGACUCUUUCUCAAACCAGAUGCAAAUCUCUUUGACUCCUGAUGGUAUAAACUGUGGAUCUGGAGGGAUGCUGGAAAUGGUAAACACUCCUGAGAUAUCUAGAGAAGUUGAAGCAAAUAAUGAUGACGGAGCAUCGCUUCCAGUCUAAGCAGGUCUGCAGUGCCAACUCCACCUUUGGUCAAGUUGUCAUGUCGGCAUGGACCUGUUUCUGGGUCCUAUCUUUUGUGCUGUUGUGUGGUCUCCUGAAGCCAUAAAGCGAAGAGCAGAUAUGAAUUUUGUUUUCCUUUAAUAACGCAAAAUCACUGGCACUAAGUGAAGGACCU
This 512-nucleotide long non-coding RNA is filed under the name Equus caballus (horse). RNAcentral's name for it is "lncRNA (ENSECAG00000032158.3)". Lineage: Eukaryota; Metazoa; Chordata; Mammalia; Perissodactyla; Equidae. The record is from RNAcentral.